Molecule: non-coding RNA, 23 nt
Filed under: Cricetulus griseus (Chinese hamster)
Lineage: Eukaryota; Metazoa; Chordata; Mammalia; Rodentia; Cricetidae
Source: RNAcentral
CGGAAGUAAGACUGGGUGGAUGA